RNAcentral lists this microRNA (24 nucleotides) under Triticum aestivum (bread wheat). RNAcentral's name for it is "tae-nsmR5". The record is from RNAcentral. Lineage: Eukaryota; Viridiplantae; Streptophyta; Magnoliopsida; Poales; Poaceae.
AAACCCGGACUGUGUCGUAUGUGC